Molecule: long non-coding RNA, 4325 nt
Organism: Passer domesticus (house sparrow)
Lineage: Eukaryota; Metazoa; Chordata; Aves; Passeriformes; Passeridae
Exons: 4
Source: RefSeq, a predicted model, not a curated record
UCGUCCCCCGCCCGUCUUCCACAGAAUGUAGAGUCACAGCAUGUUAAGGAUUGGAAGGGGCCUCAGAGCCCAUCUCGUCCCAACGCCCCUGCCCUGGCAGGGACACUUCCCACCGGAGCAGCUUGCUCAAGGCCUUAAACACUGCCGGGGCUGGGGCACCCACAGCUUCUCUGGGCAACCUGUUCCACUACCUCACCACCCUCACAGUAAAGAAUUUUUUCCUAAUAUCUAACUGAAAUUUCCCCUCUUUCAAUUUGUUCUCAUUAAUCCUUGUGCUUCCAAGGCAUCGCUAUCACUAAAGUUCCUGGCAAGAACUUUAUGUCAUUUGUGGGUGUUUCUCUGUGUGUUAGUUGGGAAUAUGCUUUCACAAUGCCAAGGAAGCAGAAAACAAGUCCCAUGACAUUGGCCUGGGUGCUCAAUAAAACUGUAGUGGAUUCAGUGUGGGGAUGAGCUUGUGGAAGGGUCCCUGCCAGAGCUGCCCACCUCCACUUGGGUUCAUCUGGGGAUGCUUUAAUGUGUGUUUUGCUGCAAACGGUGCUUGGACUGCUUGGUGUUGAGUUUUCCAGCUGGCACCAGCUGUGUGCCAGACGGGGCUCGGUGUGUUCGUACACUGACAUUUUGAGACUUCAUCUGGAAGCUGGUCCGAGGAAGCUGAGUUCUGCCACUGGUAGUGCUGCAGUCAGAUUCUACUGACCCUGACUGGGGAAACUAGCAAGGAGUUCAUGUUACCACCCCAAGGCUUUGCAGCGGGUGCCUAAUCCACUAGAUGCCACUGAUUUAUCAGCUUCUUCUGUUGUCCUUCUGUGUCUGACACAUUUACUCAUGCUUAUUCUGAGUAUGAAUUUUUCAGCUUCAGACCAAGCUGGAUAUUGCUGAAUUAUGGUAUAGAAGUGUGUCUACAGGAAGCAAUUAACAGAAAUUGGAUAUACCAUUCUUCCCAAGACCAAAUGAGAAACAGCAUACAUUGUGGAAGAUACUCCUCUGGAAAUCAUAAUUCUAUACUGUUCUUGUUGAGCAGGAAGACUGCCUGUAAUCUUGCUUGAAAUGUGCUUGUAAAUUUUAUCCAUUGGUAGCAAAGGCAUCCCAGUGUUAAUGGCGAGAGAAAGCAGCUGGACAGUGAAAAAAUGGCUGCCAAGCACACAGUAGAAGGCACUUCAGACUGUGCCUGAAAGAAUUAAAACAAAAAAUAAACGUAGUGUGGGAGGAAGAUAUUAAACUCACUGAGGAAGCAGUGGCUUAAGUCUUCAUCCAAAGAAAACAGCCUUUUUUAUUCCUCUCAAGGUCUGUGGGGUCAAUCUGUGUCUUUGCUUGUCAGUGUAUAGUUCUUACAGUUUGCAUGUCUAUGAAUAAAAUAUUUUGGACUCCAUGUGUGAAAACGGUUGCCUGGUAUAGUAGAAUUUUGGGGAGAGGUGUUAUAAGGAUUGCUUAUGUUUAUAUCUAUUGGGCCUUUAGAUAAACUUCAAAGAUAACAUAUGGAACAUUGGUUUUCGAAUUCAACAGACACAGAUCUACUCUUAACGCCUGGGUUUAGUAGCAGCUUCCCAGGAGGGAAUAAUCUCUCUGAUGUCUGGUUCACUUGGAGGCUUGAGGAAAGAAAUUUCUUGUUUCAAACUUCACAGAAGCAGACAUGAAUUAAGGAAUUUUUUGACCCAAGGCACUCUCCAUCCAGCCUGUUUUAUGAUAUAUAUUAAUCAAAGUAGCUCAGGGAUCCCCGUCUUUUAACAGUGAUACAAAAAUACAGAAAUCACCAUUUGUAGAAAACUCUGUAUCUAGAAAUCUGCAUAGAAAAAAAAAUUUUUUUCAGUGCUUGGAAAAAUAAUCUAAUCAUACUGACCUUUGAUUGAAUUAUUUUCUACCCGGCAAGUAGUAACAGUAUUUGCAAACUACACUUGUAUCUCAUAGUAUGAAAAAGUAUUAUUAUUAGCAGUACAGUCAGAGUCUGGUUAUCAGUGUCAUCUGUGGAAUUUCUGGGGAAAAAGCCUUACUUUAUUUGCAGACUGAUAUAUUUCAAGGUUAAUUAGAUCUCUAAAGUGUAAGGCCAAAAAUAAAGUUAUGUUUAAAGUUAUGUGUUAUUUCCAAGCCCCACUUGGAAAUUAAAGAGAUAAAAUUGUCUAGUAUUUCAGGUAGUUACUGAAUUAUAUAAUGUACUCUGAGUACAGUAGUGCACUACACUGCUUAGAGCUGAUGGCUAUUUUGUCUGGAGUAUUUAAUUUUAAAUGCAAACCUAAAGGAUAAGGAAGGAAGAAAAAGCUAAGAAAAGCAAGAGAAAAAAAAAAGAAUCAAAUUUUGCAUCAGAUAAAAUUUGUUUUUCCAGUAAUUACUUAGAUAGGUCUCUAGUUAGGCUUUGUCUUUUGUGUCUCAAAAGGAAAGUAGAAUGUAAGCAAGAAGUUUCACUUCAGGGAGAGUUAAUUAUUGAAAUGAUUAAUACAAGUGUCUGGAUACCAGGUAGCCACCAAAGCUUCCCUGUCACUCCCCUCCUCAACUGGACAGAGAAGAGGAAAUACAAAGAAAGACUUGUGAGUUGAGAUAAGGAUGGGGAGAGAUCUCUCACCAGUUACAGUCAUGGACAAAACAGAUUCAACUUGGAAAAAUUAAUUAGUCGAAUUUAUUACCAAUAAAAUCAGAUUAAGUUAAUGAGAAAAUAAAAAUAAAUCUUAAAAACACCUUCCCUCCACCCCUCCCUUUUCUUGUGCUCAACUUUACUCUUGAUUUCUCUGCCUCCUCCUCUACAGUGACUUAGGGGGCUGAGGAAUUUGGACUUGGUCAUUACAUCAUAUGUCUCUGCUGUUCCUUUCUCCUCAAAGAACUCCUCACUCUUCCCCUGCUCUGUCAUGGAGUCUCUUCAAUAGGAGACAGUCCAACAUCAGCUAUCUAAGUUAUCCCAGAGGUGUUGGCACUAUUGCUGAUGGGCUCAACCUUGGCCAGCAGUGGGUCCAUCUUGGAGCCAGCUUGGAUUGGGUCUGUGGGACGUGGAGGAAGCUUCCAGCAGAUUCUCACAGAAGCCACCCCAGCAGUCCCACUGCUAUCAAAAUGUGCCCAAGAAAACCCAAAAGAGCAACCAGUCAUUGGACUGAGGCCAGAGCUUCUAGCAUAAGCUGAAACUUGGAUCUUUGGGCACAAUAAAAUAGAGUGCCAGAGGGGGAAAAAAACCCUAUAGUUCUGAAAAGAUGUACCACCUUCUUUCAAGUCAAAUAAAUCAAAGAAACUGCAGUCAUGUUGCUCUGGAAAACACUGCCAUUGCCCUAUUCUUUGGAUCCUUUGUAGGUGCAUUUUACUGUCAAAGUUAUCCAUAGGCCAAAACAUUCAGGUUGAUUUAGAUUGAAAGUACUUUGUUGUUCUUUGUACACAGAUAACAGGGAGGAUAAAUGUGGGAUGAGAAUAGCUGCAAAGGAAAUUUGGGCUCAUUCAAUGUGUCUUUGGUACUUUAUGGCAUGCACUCGAAGCUUUUCAAAUUUUAACUCCUGUCAUCUUAACAUAGCCUGUAAUUAUUCCUCAGGGUAUGUCAAUUAUUCAAUGCCUUUUUAAAGCAACUUAUAAGCCAUCAUUGACAAUUUUAUGAUUUGAGUUCUAUCAGCAUUAAAGUUACUGAUUUUUUUUCUCUUCAAUGAAUAUUUCCCAAUAACUUGAUGAGUUAAUUUAUUAUUUGUAUACUUAUGCUUUACUAGAAAAAAUAUUAUCUACAAAACCUUACAUAAAUUUGGUACACAUUAAACUGAAAAUUAGACAAGUUGUGCUUCUUUGUUUUGGCUUAAGUGCCAUUGUUUGUAUUCUUGAGGUAGUGGAAGGCACUGUGUUGCAAUUUAAUAUGAUCACAAACUGCAAAUUGUUGAUUAGAAAUGUUUUACUGCACUGAAAGCUUAUUCUCAAGACAGAUACACUUGGUGGCAUGUGAAUAUUGUUGAGUAAGCAGCAUUUUGCUACACUCUUGCAAAGCAAUGGCUGCUCUGUUUCCUAUAACUGGAAUUGGGAAAACUCCCUUAUGGGAGAACUAAAAUUGCUUACUGGUGUAUGCGCUUGUGUACUACACAUCACAUGUUUUGCAUGAACUUUCUCCUCUUCUCCCUUCUCUAAAGUAGAUCUUUGAACUUUCAUCAGCCUAGGACAGAACCAGUAAUAGUCAAAAUGUGUGGGUUUGGCUGAUGGGCGCUGGUACAUGUGGUUAAGAACCAUGUAACUCUGCUAAGAGCUCUUGGAGGAAAUUGCCCCUUUUGGAUUAUUUUAUUGCCUGUACUGGGGUGGCCAGUGAGGGGUACUUCUGGUUGACACCCAGUGGUGACUCGCUUUCCAUUCACUUUUCUUUGCUAUUGUUAUACUCAUAAAAAUGU